This is a long non-coding RNA of Ostrea edulis (European flat oyster), 846 nucleotides long. RefSeq lists it as uncharacterized. Lineage: Eukaryota; Metazoa; Mollusca; Bivalvia; Ostreida; Ostreidae. The record is from RefSeq and is a predicted model, not a curated record. The transcript has 2 exons.
UCAUAUCAUAUUUCAUAGUUUUUUAAUAUAUUUUUUUUUGUAUUAAAACGACCGAGUAUCGAGAUCAAUGGUAAUGAAAUAAGUUGACACCGCGUCUCGUCAAAACAUGUUCAAUUCGAAUUUACUCGGAAUUACACGUUCAACGAACAUUUCCUGUGAAACCUGAUUAAAGAAAAAUUACUGUAGACACCUAAUAGUGAUUUGUACAGAAGCGAGCCCCGGCAGGAAUGAUGGCCUCUUUUGAAAUGAAGAUUCCAUGCCUUACUCCUACUGGGACUACAACUAACUUUGGACCUGGUCACUCGCAGAUACAGCAUGAAGUGUGCCCUCUUGAUGUACAUGGGAAUGGGAGUGAUACAGAAGGGGGACUAAUUGGAAGAACUGCUGCUGCUGGUGGUGGUGCUGGACUGUCUUGAAUAUGUGGCCUAACCGAGUUGAUAUUCUUCUGUUUAAUAUGGGAGCAACACACACACUCUGGCAUCUAUUGCACAGAAAAUCAUGAUCAGAUGGUGCCCUCCCUAUCAGAGUGGUGAUCACUGUCCUAUAUUUCUUUGAAAUCCUGGAUCUGUGUUUUGGUUUUACUCUCCAUGGACAAUUGAAACAGAGAAAGAAUUUGGGACCAUUCCUUGGCAUAUUUGAAAUAUUUAUGUCAUAUACAUGUAAUUGAAAUUAUACAAUUUGGGUUGGAUGAAAAUCUUAUCUUCAUGUUAAAACCCAUUAGCCUAGGUUAUUUUUCCUAAAAUCUAAUUAUAAAUCAAUUAACUUGUUAAUUAAUGCUUGGUGAAUCAAUUAAUAAAUUGUAUUCAAAAACUUGGAAUCAUUUUUUCCCACUAAUAAACUGAAAAU